GUGAGGAAUAUUGCGCAAUGGGCGAAAGCCUGACGCAGCGACGCCGCGUGAGGGACGACGGCCUUCGGGUCGUAAAGCUCUGUCAUCAGGGACGAACGGCCGGUGGAGUGGAAAGCCACCGGAUUGACGGUACCUGAGAAGGAAGCCACGGCUAACUACGUGCCAGCAGCCGCGGUAAUACGUAGGUGGCAAGCGUUGUCCGGAAUUAUUGGGCGUAAAGCGCGCGCAGGUGGGAUCUUAAGUCCAUUUUUAAAGUUCGGAGCUCAACUCCGUGAUGGGAUGGAAACUGGGAGUCUUGAGUACCGGAGAGGAAAGCGGAAUUCCCCGUGUAGCGGUGAAAUGCGUAGAUAUGGGGAGGAACACCAGUGGCGAAGGCGGCUUUCUGGACGGUGUCUGACACUGAGGCGCGAAAGCCAGGGGAGCGAACGGGAUUAGAUACCCGAGUAGUCC
Molecule: ribosomal RNA, 450 nt
Filed under: uncultured bacterium
Lineage: Bacteria
Description: partial 16S ribosomal RNA
Rfam family: Bacterial small subunit ribosomal RNA
Source: RNAcentral